UGCGUAGGCGGCUACGUGUGUCAGAGGUGAAAUCCCACGGCUCAACCGUGGAAUUGCCUUUGAAACUGCGUAGCUUGAGUCCGAGAGAGGAUGAUGGAAUUCCUGGUGUAACGGUGAAAUGUGCAGAUAUCAGGAAGAACACCGGUGGCGAAGGCGGUCAUCUGGCUCGGUACUGACGCUGAGGCACGAAAGCUAGGGUAUCGAACG
RNAcentral lists this ribosomal RNA (207 nucleotides) under uncultured bacterium. Its description in RNAcentral is "partial 16S ribosomal RNA". It matches the Rfam family "Bacterial small subunit ribosomal RNA", at positions 568 to 774 of the family's 1533-position model. The record is from RNAcentral.